UGAAAUUUCAGCAAGAGGGGAAAAGAGAGAGCGCGUGAGAGAGAGAGAGAGAGAGAGAGACAGCAGAGCAGUCCCAGGCUUCCUCAUCUCGUUCACGUCAGAGGCAGGAACCGACUGUGCUAAGGCUGUGGGCUCAACACGCAGAGACAGACAGGAGCGGACCCAGGAGAGGAAGAGCCGGGGGUCCUCCCUGACCCGACCAGUUACCACUGGUGGAGCAAGCCGCCUGACUUUUUGGUCUUAUUUGGGCUGCCUCCGCUUCCCCUUCCACUCGCAGCCCUGCCGGCUCGGAUCUCGUUCCUGUCUUGGAGCCUGCUCCCUUCCUCUCGGGGAAGGAGGAAGGGAAGAGAAGCGAGCGAGGUGGGCUCUAGGUGAGCGCAUCAGCCGGCUCAGCCGAACACGCAGGAAUCCUUCCCAGGGAGCCGCUCUGCUCCAGCCGGCACCGGCCCGGACAUUUUCCUAGACUCCAAAACCUCGGAGUGGCCUGUGGCUGCUGGCUG
Molecule: long non-coding RNA, 500 nt
Filed under: Ictidomys tridecemlineatus (thirteen-lined ground squirrel)
Lineage: Eukaryota; Metazoa; Chordata; Mammalia; Rodentia; Sciuridae
Description: lncRNA (ENSSTOG00000032501.1)
Source: RNAcentral